GAUGAACGCUGGCGGCAUGCCUAAGACAUGCAAGUCGAACGAGACGGCCCAAUGAAAACGGAGUGCUUGCACAAAGUUGGAUUUGGUUCCCCGUCUAGUGGCGCAAGGGUGAGUAACACGUGGGUAAUCUACCUUCGAGUCUGGAAUAACAGUUAGAAAUGAUUGCUAAUGCCGGAUGAUUGAUAGGAUGGUAUUCUUCCUAUUAUAAAAGGAGCCUUUAAAGCUUCGCUUGAAGAUGAGCCUGCGCCGUAUUAGCUAGUUGGUGGGGUAAAAGGCCUACCAAGGCGACGAUGCGUAGCCGACCUGAGAGGGUGAUCGGCCACACUGGGACUGAGACACGGCCCAGACUCCUACGGGAGACAGCAGUUAGGAAUAUUCGUCAAUGGGGGAAACCCUGAACGAGCAAUGCCGCGUGAAGGAUGACGGUCCUAUGGAUUGUAAACUUCUGUUGUUUAGGGAAGAACGGACCUGUAUAGGAAAUGAUACAGGAGUGACGGUACCUUUCAAA
RNAcentral lists this ribosomal RNA (508 nucleotides) under uncultured bacterium. RNAcentral's name for it is "bacterial SSU rRNA". It matches the Rfam family "Bacterial small subunit ribosomal RNA", at positions 28 to 486 of the family's 1533-position model. The record is from RNAcentral.